CCCGCCCCAGGGGCGCGUGAGCCACCCCCUGAGGGCCCGGCUGAGGGUCCCCUCCUUCCUGGUGCCGAGUGAGGAAUCCCCUGAAGGACCCCAGUAAAGGACACCUGGAGGUGCCCUCGGGAGGGGCCGCGGGAAUUACUCCACAAGUUCCUGAGGAACCCCUCGGGAGAGGGGAACCCCAUGAGAGCCCAUGCGAGGAUUCCGCUGAGGAACCCUCUCAGGGACCGCGUGAGGGACACCGUGUGAGGCACCCCCUGAGAAGCCCCUCUAAGGGAUACCGUGACGGAGCCCGGUGAGGGACCCGGGUGGCAUAGGAGUGGGGCAUUUUAGAACCAGUUCUGCACUUACAUUAAUGUCGGCAUCUCCUUCUUUUGAGAGGGUGGGCACAAAGGAGCCACCCUGUUGACAAAGAGAACUCCAGGACAAAAGACAGCCGCACUACAGGAGGAAAAAAUUGUCAAGACUGUUCCAUGUCUGAGCCUGAUACUGAUCCUGCAGAGCCCUGCUUAAACACCUAUCUAAGAAGGAUGCUAGUGAGAUUUAACCUGUCUAGUACAUGCUCUUCUAAUGGUCUGGGAGACAGUUAACACAUACUGACAGAUGGCAAAGGAUGGAGAAGCAACAGACGUUUUCUGCUAAAGGGCCUGCCUACAACUCACACCAUACCUGGAACAGAAACUACCAGACAGAGACAAGUAUCACAUGCAGUUGAUAGAAAAUACUAUUGAGUCAAGAAACCAACACCACGCUAUUUGGUCACAAGCCACUGAAAGACAUGUGAAUGGAGACAUCAACUACAGGCAUCAAAGGUUUAUUUACACUGAGUUUCAGUCACUGUUCACUGGACUUUGAGUAGAGCUACAAACUGGAGGAGACUCUCAUUUCCUACAUGUGAUCAGAAAUGAGCUCUCACCUCCUCACAUAUGCAAAGCCAGAAGACACAUUAACUUGCAAAGCAAGGGGAAAUAAUUUUCCUCAUAAACAGUUCACAUUCACAGACAGAGGAGGAACUUCCCAUUGUAGUCUCACCACAAUCCUAGGACGACAAGACCAGGCUGUAAUUGUAUGAGAUGCACAGAAUAGACAUAGGAUCUCUUGAAACAAGUUCAAAGUCUGUAAUAGGAAAUGAGAGCUGGGCAGCCAAGGCAACACAGCAAUCUGCUGAAGAGAGAAAAGGUUUCAGCCAGCAUUCAGAAACCAACCCAAGCAUGCCUUGGAAAAGCUGCCUCAGAAAUCAGGACAGAGCAUUCAGAAAGGAAGUUUUUAAACACAAAUACAUCUACAGGGCUUGCCUGGAAAAAGAAAAAAGAAAACAAACUAGAUUCCAAGCAAAUAUAUUCUCAAGCAACUGGAAAUGAAUUAGCUUCUUGAAUUUAGGGAAUGAUUUACAGCUCUUAUAGUUUUUCAUCUUUAACUUUGCAAUUAGCGAAAGGAUUAUAUCUUGAACAUGUACAUGUAAUUAACAGAGAAAAGAAGCUGAAAAAUUAUUACAGAAACUACUUUUUAGAUGCUACUUUUAUUCUUUAUAAUUUCCUGAAAUAGUAGAGAGGGGGAAAAAAAACAACAAUCAAAACACAGGAAUCUUGUGUUCUAUGUUUUUGUCUGCCAUAAGCUUGUCUCAUGAGUUUCUCUAUGAAGCCUGAACAGAAGACUGUAGAUUACAGACCAUAUCUUCUUCUGAGACAGUUUCUUUUAUAUAUUUUCACAGCAUCAGUUUUUGGUAAUUUAGAUACCUAUCAGAACAGACUCUAAAUGUCUGCACCCCUCCAAAGUUCCCUGCUCAUCCAUUUGAAUUACAAAUUCAAAACAUUAAGGAGCCCAUUGCAUGCAAGGUCUAGGAAAUUCUUGCAAACAGGAAUCCUGGCUCUGCAAAGACCAGGUGAAAAGUCUGGGCAAUUUCAUUUGAAAUUUUAGAUGCUUGAAUGCUUGCAAUAGUUCCCAUAUUUUUAAAUCAACCAGAAAAAGCACACACCUUUACAGAACACAAAUAUCUGAAAUAUUUGAUUUACAGACACUCAACUAUGAGCGCCAUGGUCCACUGGAGAAGAAUAAAGUUAUUUCACUUCCUAGAAUAGUUUUAAAGAUAAAAAGUUACUCCAUAUAAUUGAACAAAUUAUAAUCUUCACCAAAAAAAGACUAAUUGACAAAAAAAAAAAUCCAUAUUUUCUUCAGUAUUUUUAUAGUAACUAGUACUGCCAAGUGAUUAAACCCAAACUUCCUCCUCUAUGACAAGAGUGUACUUUAGUUUUGUCAUUAAGAACACUGAAUCCUCCUGGCACUGCACAGUGAAGGGUAAUUUAUAAAUUAAAUGCUAAAAGCACUCAGUGCCACAGUCAAGCCCUGAUUAAAAUAACUGCUAUAGUUUAUAUUUUACUCUUGCAUUAACUUUAAUUAAGUGCAACUCCAAUGCAACAAACGUCACUGAAGUCAACCAAGGUGUUUUUGAUUUACUCCCAACUUGAAUACCACAACUUCAGCAUAUGAGAAUCAGCAAAGGCAUUUUUCUUUAAUAGGUCACUCAUUCAGGAGAUGAGAGAGAAAAAUCUCAUAAUUAGAGUGUAGAGUUUAACGCUUUACUUGUUCAAAUGUGAGCACAAAGCAAACAAGGCACAGCUAUUACAGCAGUCAUAAUUCAUGUAUGAUCUUUCACAAUGCUUCACGGACUUCUUUUCCAAUCACUCUAUUUUGCUCAAUGACAGAGAAGGUCUGUCUCUAACAUUAAGUCUGGCUGUGGACAAACACCCUUGAUUGCACCACAUGCAAAGGGAGCAACAAUACUCCUGAAUCUCUCUUCAGCUUCACAAUUGUUUGGUUCCAAACAAUCUUCUGCAAGGUUGUGUUACCAACCCACUUGCCCAUUUAUCUUCACUGCAGAUGCGCCCGAGCAACAAAAGUUACAGAACACAGCAAAAACGUGGCAACUCUAUAAAACACAGUUAUCUCGCUAGAGUAAGCAAGAUUUUUGGGAAAUUGUGUUUCAGCAGGAGUUUGUCUCCCGUAAGCAGCUCUACAACCACAACCAGUGCUGGCUGCUGACUGGCUGAAGAGAUGAACGUAUGUGGAGAAAGUAGGCAGAGAGAUUCUAUUUUGAGCUUAUUGCUGUUAAAAGACUGCUGUGUUUAUACAUUUUGGCCCUGCUCCUUAAGAGCUGCUGCAUAAAAGCCUCCCCCUGUGCAACUGUGAAUAAUAACAGAACAUCUCAUAAUGUUUCAUCAGAAAUGGAAAAUAGCAGCCCACUGACUCUUGCUGGUCAGACCACUAAGCAUGGCUUCAGCACAGAAAGAUCUUGAGGCAAAGAAGCAACUGCAGCAACCGAUACUCUCUGAGAUUUAAGAGCUGCUACAUCUAUGCAUUCAUUCCUUGUAACCCUCAAUUCCCUUCUGUGGCACCAACUAACCUGCAAUUUAGGAUUUUGCACUAAUUCAAUCAACUCCUUGCAUAAAAUUGCAACCUCAGCCAAUGAACUCUUGGGCUACUACCUCUGAUGGUGAAUAUUACCCAUGAAAUAUAAUCUCCUCCAUUUACUAAUCCCACAGGACACCAUUUUAAUAUUCUCCUGAAAGGUUUCAAAGCAUGACUUCCAGAACCUGAAGAGCUCUCAGUUUUUGUAAGCAUGUAAAGAAUAAAACAGAGAAGCUAUUCAAACACUGGAAAGAGUUUUAGAGUGAAGAAUUAUGAAGUCAACAAGCAACAAUGAAGAUCUAAAGUCCUUUUUUAUUUUUUUUUUUAAGCUCAGAACAUUUCUGGCUGCUCUGACAAAUACUGCAGUUUAACCCCAGUUUUAGAACAACUUUUAAAAGCCAUCAGCACAGAACCGUAUGUAAAACCAAACUCUGUAAGAUUGAGUGUAACAGAAAAAAGGAACCUUAGCAGUAAGUUUGGCCAAGCACUGACUGCAACCGUUGGAGACGCUAAUAUCUGUCCAUUAGCUUCUCAUCUGCAGGACAAAAGGAAAGAUCCAAUCCCACUGUUGCUCUUCAGCCCGCGACCAGGUGUAAAUCGCUCUGUAACAUCUCACUGAUGCUUCCAGAGGUGCCUCGCUGGGGCUUACAGUGCCACAUA
Molecule: long non-coding RNA, 4062 nt
Organism: Serinus canaria (Common canary)
Lineage: Eukaryota; Metazoa; Chordata; Aves; Passeriformes; Fringillidae
Exons: 3
Source: RefSeq, a predicted model, not a curated record